AUUUUUAUUACAAAUAUUUGCACUGUAAAAAUGAUAAACAGAAGAAAUAGUAUUUUUCAAUUCGCCUCAUACCAAGUACUGUCGUGCAAUCUUUGUCUGAAAG
Gopherus evgoodei (Goodes thornscrub tortoise) is the source of this 103-nucleotide long non-coding RNA. RefSeq lists it as uncharacterized. Lineage: Eukaryota; Metazoa; Chordata; Testudines; Testudinidae. The transcript is spliced from 3 exons. The record is from RefSeq and is a predicted model, not a curated record.